This 378-nucleotide ribosomal RNA is filed under the name uncultured eukaryote. RNAcentral describes it as "SSU rRNA". It matches the Rfam family "Eukaryotic small subunit ribosomal RNA", at positions 587 to 969 of the family's 1831-position model. The record is from RNAcentral.
AGCUCCAAUAGCGUAUAUUAAAGUUGUUGCGGUUAAAAAGCUCGUAGUUGGAUUUCUGUCUGAGGCGGCCGGUCCACUUUCUGAGUGAGCAUCUGGUCCGCUUUGGGCAUCCUCCUGGGGAACGUCUCCGCGCUUGAUUGUGUGGUACGGAAUCUAGGACUUUUACUUUGAGGAAAUUAGAGUGUUCACUGCAGGCAUACGCCUUGAAUACGUUAGCAUGGAAUAAUAAGAUAGGACCUCGGUUCUAUUUUUUCGGUUUCUAGAGCUGAGGUAAUGAUUAACAGGGAUAGUUGGGGGCAUUCGUAUUUAACUGUCAGAGGUGAAAUUCUUGGAUUUGUUAAAGACGAACUACUGCGAAAGCAUUUGCCAAGGAUGUUU